RNAcentral lists this ribosomal RNA (329 nucleotides) under Pseudoalteromonas agarivorans. RNAcentral describes it as "partial 23S ribosomal RNA". It matches the Rfam family "Bacterial large subunit ribosomal RNA", at positions 926 to 1256 of the family's 2925-position model. Lineage: Bacteria; Pseudomonadati; Pseudomonadota; Gammaproteobacteria; Alteromonadales; Pseudoalteromonadaceae. The record is from RNAcentral.
GUCAUCCCGACUUACCAACCCUUUGCAAACUCCGAAUACCGUAAAGUAAUAUCCGGGAGACACACGGCGGGUGCUAACGUCCGUCGUGAAGAGGGAAACAACCCAGACCGCCAGCUAAGGUCCCAAAGUCAUAGUUAAGGGGGAAACGAUGUGGAAAGGCCCAGACAGCCAGGAGGUUGGCUUAGAAGCAGCCAUCCUUUAAAGAAAGCGUAAUAGCUCACUGGUCGAGUCGGUCUGCGCGGAAGAUGUAACGGGGCUAAACUAUGCACCGAAGCUGCGGAUUCAUCUUAGGAUGAGUGGUAGGGGAGCGUUCUGUAAGCGGUUGAAGG